UCUAAAAUUAGACCAAUGUAUCCAAACUUUAAUUGAAAAACAACAACAGCAACAAAAUAAUAGAACAAAAAAUAAACAAAAAUAUAUAAAAAUAUAUAAAAUAAAGAGCGUAUGUUUUUGGAAUUUGUAGAAGUUCAUUUAGCCAUGCUUAGUUCAUGUAUAAGUCACUUCCUCCAUUCAUUUUAGUUUCAAUUUUAAUUUUUUUCUACCUUUUUAAGACACACAAAUUUGCAAGGUCAUUUAAUGGUGUGGGCCUUGGUGCAAGUGACUCCAAGCAAAUGCUUUGGGACAUCGACCCCAUUCCAUUCAUUUAUGCCUAUUUUGGCUGUUCUGGGUCCCAAGCUUGCUCAUCACUCUCUGCUCCCAUCCACCCACACCACAUUUUUCUUUUAUUAUACAACAUUUUACUUGAUGGGCACUCCCUCAAACAACCGCUCUGUCCUCUUAUUAUUAAUGACAAACUUGAUCGGCACUCUCCCACACCGCCAUCGAUUUCCUUUUCAGUAAAUUGUUAAAUGAUAUUUAACUCAAAUAAACAGAAUAAAAUGAUCUGAACAGUGGCUGUUGUAGGUUGUGUUACACUAAUUUAACUUUGUUUGUACACAUUAAUCCCAUACCUCACAAUGAAGUUCAUUACAUUUCCCCUAAAAGUGAGUAUAAUCUUGCAUCAAUCAGAAGUUCCAUAAAUGAUACUCAUACUGUUAUCAACUCACACUGUUAUUAGCUGGGUGUUUUGUGACUGCAAUUGCUGCUUCUGUAAAUUUUGUGGCACGGAAAGAGAUGUUUGUUUUUUCAGACAAUUUACUGUGUUGCUCUUGUUGCAGAUCUCUUGCAGUGGGCUU
RNAcentral lists this long non-coding RNA (842 nucleotides) under Physcomitrium patens. RNAcentral describes it as "long non-coding RNA (PPAT_LNC005127)". The record is from RNAcentral. Lineage: Eukaryota; Viridiplantae; Streptophyta; Bryopsida; Funariales; Funariaceae.